UCUAACCUACCCAAAUCCCUUACCCUUUAAUAAAACCUAGAUAUAGAAGGAUGGGGAGGAGAUUUUUUAGAUCGCGAAUACCCAAAAAAUAGUGCAGCUUCCCCUUUGCUUUCUUUUUCGCUCCUCAUCUUCCACGGAGAGGUACAAAAUCUUCCAUCAUUUUAUAAAACCGUAGACCUAAGACCAACAGCAGAUCUCCCUCACCUCUCUCUUACAUGAAGAACAUACACCAAUACACAAAAGAGAAUGGAACUAGCACAAAACGAAAAAUGGGAAAUCGAAAAGGGAACUAAGUUUGGUUUUGGUCUCCGUACUUCUCUUAUCUGCUUUGUCAUUUUAGGUCUUUGAUAAGAAAUGCAGUCCAAUUUUAUUUCAAACUCGAAAAAUACAUAAAUAUAUUUCAGUUUUCGUUUGCGGUUUUCAAUCCUGGGGUUUAGUUGAAAUUUAAGGUUGGUUUGUUGUAUACGGUUUCAAGUUUGCUGUCCGAUUGCUGUGUUCGAGGUUGCCGCUGAGCUUUCGAGUCGCCGAUUCUGUUCGAGUUUUUUCCGGUGUAGUUGUGGCGGUUGUUUAAGUUUGAUUGUCGAUUCGUGUUCAAGCUUUGUACGCGGUUGGAAUUUCUGUCAAGUAAACAUAUGGUUUCGAUUAUUAAGGUUCGUCUCCAUUUUGUUUCUACUAUUUUUUGAAUAGCCUGAAAUCUAUAUAUUUGUUAUUAUGUUGCCUUCAUUAAUUGUUAAGUCAAUACCUGAUUCGAGUGUUCAUCAAUUUCUGAUAUUGGUUAGAUACUACUGUGCUUGAGAGCUUCUGUUUAUAUAACUUGGUUAAGAAAUUUAGGAGAUGGUGUUGUUUCCUUCUAGCAGCUCAAAACAUCUUCAGUGGCCAAAUAUCACGUCUUACUUUUCAUUUCCAUUUAAUUAAAGUAAGUCAAUUAAUCAUUUCCCUUUUUUUCAAAGAGAAAGAACAAAAUAAAGAGAUUUUUUCACAUUACAGAAGGAAAAUUUUGCCAUGCCUUCGAUAAGUGGACCUUUUUUUUUGGGAUUUUUCUCUAAGUGAUGUUUUAUUACUAUUUGUCGAGCUUCUAGUUUAUCUUUAAAUCUGGUAAUUUCCAGUGUCAAGCUCACGCAAUUAAUUAUGUGAGUAUUAGUCUUGAAGAGAAAAGUUGAAUAGGCUACUGACUUAGUCCAAAUUCUGUUGGGAUGGAAAACGAGCUUUCAUAUCCAUUUGUUAAUGUCCUUUAGUUUGGGAUCCAGUGGACCUUUCAUUAUCUGAUAAUAAGCAAAAAUGAGUAGAAAAACUAGACAAAUAUGGGCCAAUGUUUACGGGCUUAUUGGAUAAGAUGAUAUUUUGUUAUGCUUCUAGUUUUGUCUUAUUAGCUUUAUUUAUAACUAAUUAAUUUUGUCUUGUUCUUGUUAGUCAUGUGUGUUUUAUAAUUUGAUCUCAAAUUCGAAGUAUCGAUCGAUGGUAAUUAGAAUGAAAGAAUUUUGGGGGUUUGGAGUUACAUUGGGUUUGGGAUCAUUAGUCAGUUGAUUUCUUCUAAAAUAAUUUUUAUCUAUAAAUUCGUGAUAUUUGCAAUAAUCUCAACUUAGGAAUUGAGCAAAUUAUGAAAACCCACAGUUUGCUUUAGGCUCAAUUUUGACUAGUAUUGUGAUUAUGUAUAUGUUCGCGUAACAUAAUUGCAAAUUUAAUUCUAAAAAUGACUCGAGGGAUGCGUUCGCGCAACUUCAACCAAACUCUUCUUAAAUAAAUAAACAAAGCGUUAUUAAUUGUGGACACGUCUGCGUGACAUAAUUUUUGACGCGCCAAACAAAAGGGUAUACGUACGCGUAACUCAAUUCUUUAAUUGCGAAUAAUCAAUGAUUUAAAAGCGGUAGAAAGAUAAUUUCACAUAGGUUCUAAAACAAGUAAUUAAACAAUUUUAAUAAGCCAAGUAUGAUCAAAGCGACCGUGCUAGAACCACGGAACUCGGGAAUGCCUAACACCUUCUCCCGGGUUAACAGAAUUCCUUACCCGGAUUUUUGUGUUCGCAGAUCGUAAAUAGAGUCAACUUUCCUCGAUUCGGGAUUUUAAACCAGUGAAUUGGGACACCAUAAAAUUAUCCCAACUGGCGACUCUAAAUCUGUAAAUAAACAAAUCCCGUUUCGAUUGUCCUUUAAUUGGAAAAACUCUCUUAUAUUUAUACCCAUUAUGGGUUUGAAGGAAAAAGGAGGUGUGACACAGUCUAUCACCAAUAAUAUGCAAGAUAUCAAAAGCAUGCCUUAGGUGUAAAAACUAGUAGAACCUCAUUGUCGACUGUCGAGGAACUUUUUAUGCCGUAUUAUAAGUUUCCUUUUCUUACAGUUCCUGGGCUAAUUUACCUUUCCCUAUUAUUUUUGGUUGAAAUCUAACCCUAGGCUCCGCCAUUAGUGAGCUCGAGCAAGAGAAAUAAUAGAGAGAACGUUAGAGAGAGAAAGAAACUAGAAAAUGAGAAAAUCGUUUCUUAUGUUGCUUACUUAGCUGCAAAAUGAAAUGUACACCCCUUAUUAUACUAAUUAACAUAACUAAUCAUCUACUAACUUCCUUAAUUAAUCACCUUCUAGAAGAGUACUACAUAAAUACAGAGAUGUACAACUAUUUACAACUUCUAAUUUCAACAUUCCCCCUCAAGUUGAGAAUGAAAAAAUGUCUUUCAUUCCCAACUUAGAGAUUAAUGUUGCAUAUUGCUGAUGUCCUAGUGCUUUGAUCAUCCCUCCUUGAAUCUUCUCUCGGAUGAAAUGGCAGUCUAUUUCUAUGUGUUUUGUUCUUUCAUAAUACAUAGGAUUUACAACAAUUUGCAAUGCUGCUUUAUUAUCACAAAACAACUUCAUGGGCAGCUUUAGAUUUACACUCAGCUAUUCCAAUAGACAUUUCAACCACACAACUUCAGCUACUGUGUGUGCCAUGCUCCUAUACUCAGCUUCAGCUGAGCUUCUAGAUACAAUAUGCUUCUUCUUAGCUUUCCAGGAUAUGGUUGAAAUCCCAUGUUUAACACAACAUCCAGUAACAGAUUUUCUUGGCAUAGGACAUGAUGCCCAAUCUGAAUCACAGAAUGCUUCUAUUUCUUCAUUGUUGUCACUUGACAUUAACAGCCCCAACCCUGGUUGCUUCUUGAUGUACCUUACUACAUGAAUGUUGCUUCACAGUGAGAUUUCUUAGGUGCCUGCAUAAAUUGGCUUAGUGAGUACACUGCAUAUGAGAUAUCUGGCCUUGUUAUUGUUAGAUACAAAAGCUUUCCUAUGAGCCUUUAAUAAUUCCCACUGUCUUCCAGUGAUUCAUCUCCCUUACUUGUGUCUGUGAAAGUAUCAAACUCAGUGCUUAUCAGCUUCAAGUUCUACUCCAUUGUUGUCUCUUUAGGCUUAGAACUUGCCAAACCUGCAUCAGAAAUCAUCUCUAAUACAUAUUUUCUUUGAGUCAUAAGAAUUCCCUCUUUUGCUCUAGCAAAUUCUAUGCCUAAGAAAUAUCUGACUUCUCCAAGUUCUUUUAUUUUGAAGUGUUGAUGCAGAGACUUUUGUGCAUUUUUAAUUUCCUUUAGAUCAUCUACAUAGACCAAAAUCAAAACAAAUGUGUUAUCCACAUUUCUAGUAAACAAAAAAUAGUCACGCUUUCUUUGUUUAAAACCAGAUGAAGACAAGGCUUGAGAUAGCUUCACAUUCUAUUGCCUAGAAGCCUGCUUAAGCCCAUAAGAUUUAAGUAGCCUACAAUCCUUAUACUCCCCCUAGCUACUAAAUCCUUGGGAAAAAUUCAUGUAAACUUACUCUUCAAGAUCUCCAUUCAGAAAAGCAUUCUAAACAUCCAUUUGAAAGAUAGGGCAGUGCUUGUGUUACACCCCUCAAUAUUACGUCAAUAUUAUGUCCCGCAGUAUUAUACUACGACAAUGUUAUGCUCUGCGGUAAUAUGUUACGAUGAUGUUACCCUCUGCAGUAAUAUAUUAUGAUGAUGUUAUGUCCUGCAGUAAUAAAUUACGACAGUGCUGCACCCUGUAGUAUUACAUUACGGUGAUAUUGCGCUUCGCAGUAAUAAGUUACGACAGUGUUGCACCCAGCAGUAUUGUACGUUGAAUUUGUCGUAAGGUAAUUGACAUCAGUCCAAGGAAAAGAUUAUUUGGCGAUUAUUAGGAUUAUGUUAUUUCACAAGUGAUUAGUAAAUUUAUGAAGGUGAAAGGGGGAGCAAGUCAAAGAAAACGAAUUUUGCCAAAGUUUGGCAUUUUGGGAUAAAAUACGGCCCGAGCUAAAAUACCCGAUAAUUAUGAACUAGUACGAUACAUGGUACCAUACAAGUUACCACAUGGUCUUGAUAAAGAGGUGUAUAAGGUAUGCGAAAAGUGAGUAAUAUUUUAAGUAAGUGGGAAUAAUUCUCAAUUUUACGGGUAAUUGAUUAAUUACCGGGUAAUGGGACAAUACCUAAUUAAUUUCAAUUAUCCAAAAAACGUGGCAGCCCCUAUGCUAAUUAAAGUGACUCACUACUUUGAUGGAAAUGUUGCCAUAUUAAGUAACAAACACAUGUUUGGCUUUUCUACACACAUGAAACUUACGUUACUAUUUGAAUUAGUAACAAUUUAUCUUUCCAUUGACACAUGUAUUACCUGUAGAACAACGGGCUUCAACCUUUUCUUUCCAUCAUGGCUUUCACUUCAUUCCACAAAUUUUCAUUGUUCUUUCUUCAUUUGUGUUUUAGUUUUGUUCAACAUUCUCACCUCCUUGUUCCUUGAUGUUUUGUUUGUAUUCUUCUAUCCCCUAUCUCGUUGCUGUAGUCGUACAGUGAUUGGCAAUAAAGAUAUUCAUUCCUGAAUAUCUCAUUAUCUCCUAUAAACUUUAAUUUUUCCAUUGCUUCCUGAAUUCCCAAGAAUAUCAUACGGAUUUUUUCCUACUCCGAUCUUGCCGAUACGUGUUGUCGCUAUUUCCGUGUGUUAAAAGAUUGUCAAGAAAAUCGGCUCAGGUAUGUUAAGGCUACCCCUUCUUUCUUUUGGCUUGAUCCAUACCAUACGAACGAAACGUGCAAAUAAACAAAUUCCAUGAAUGACUCUAUUUAUAGAAGUAUUAGAGAUAUCUAUAUUCUUGAAUUUCCGUGUGUCAUAAUAUUUUAUCAUCUUUUCAUGGGUCUCAGAAAAAUAUGAAAGUUGAGAAAAAAAAAGUUUACUUUAUGAUAUUGCUCAAAGACAAAAUGGUCUUAUGAAAUUCUGAAAGAUUUUAUUAAUGUACUUUUCAUGCUUUGCAUUCAUGUGCAUUGACCCAUGACCAGAUAGUGUUAUAUAAACGUGUAUAUGUAAAUAUAUGUAAAUGGGAUAUGGGAAAAGGUUACGGCAUUAUAUACGCACCACCACCUGAUCAACCGAUAUAUGAUGAUGAUGUUGCCAACAGUGGCUGAAAUAUGAUUCAAACGGUGUUAUAUACGCGUAUAUAUGUAUGUAUAUAUAUGUAUAUGGGAUAUGGAAAGGUUAUGGCAUUAUAUACGCGCCACCACCUGAUCAGCUGGUAUACGAUGAUGAUUUUAUCCAUAGUGGCCGAUAUGAUAUGAUGGGAUGCCCUCAGAGGCUGAUGAUGUUAUGAAACAUAUACCUAUGCACGACAUGACAUUCAUACGCAUAUGCAUGAUGCUAAAAGUAAUUUAUGAUUUACAAGUUAUUUAGACUUAUAGGUUGAUUCAUGUACUCUAUAUUUUUUCCGUGUCUCUUAUGUUUUUAUUUAAGUGCCUCACAUACUAGGUACAUUAUUCGUACUGACAUCCCUUUUGCCUGGAGACGCUGCGUUUCAUGCACGUAGGUCCCGAUAGACAGGUUGAGAUCCCUCCAAGUAGGCUAUCAGCUCAGCGGAAGAUGUUGGUGUGCUUCAUUUGCGUCAGAGUUGCUCGUUUGGUUAGUAUGAUUUAGACGUGUAUUGUUUAGAAAGGCGGGACUCUAUCCCGACCUUUAUGACAUUUAUGUACUAUUAGAGGCUUGUAGACAUAUGUCGUGUAUAUAAAAGAUUGUACGGCCUAGUCGGCCUAUGUUUUGAGUUUAUAGAGGAUCAUGUUUGCCUAUUAGGCCCGUAUGUCAUGUGUUAUAAUGAUGUAAUAAGAAAUAUAUGUUACGUUGGUACUCGGUUGAGUAAGGUACCGGGUGCCCAUCGUGGCCCAUCGGUUUGGGUCGUGACAAAAGUGGUAUCAGAGCAGUUCUGUCUUAGGGAGUCUACAAGCUGUGUCUAGUAGAGUCUUGUUUAUGG
RNAcentral lists this long non-coding RNA (6209 nucleotides) under Nicotiana tabacum (common tobacco). Its description in RNAcentral is "long non-coding RNA (NTAB_LNC016424)". Lineage: Eukaryota; Viridiplantae; Streptophyta; Magnoliopsida; Solanales; Solanaceae. The record is from RNAcentral.